GGAGGGGUAGCUCAGUGGUAGAGUGCCUGCUUAGCAUGCACAACGUCCUGGGUUCAAUCCCCAGUGCCUCCA
RNAcentral lists this transfer RNA (72 nucleotides) under Camelus bactrianus (Bactrian camel). It matches the Rfam family "tRNA". Rfam says of the family: Transfer RNA (tRNA) molecules are approximately 80 nucleotides in length. Their secondary structure includes four short double-helical elements and three loops (D, anti-codon, and T loops). Further hydrogen bonds mediate the characteristic L-shaped molecular structure. tRNAs have two regions of fundamental functional importance: the anti-codon, which is responsible for specific mRNA codon recognition, and the 3' end, to which the tRNAs corresponding amino acid is attached (by aminoacyl-tRNA synthetases). tRNAs cope with the degeneracy of the genetic code in two manners: having more than one tRNA (with a specific anti-codon) for a particular amino acid; and 'wobble' base-pairing, i.e. permitting non-standard base-pairing at the 3rd anti-codon position. RNAcentral also lists the same sequence under 2 other names. The record is from Rfam by way of RNAcentral. Lineage: Eukaryota; Metazoa; Chordata; Mammalia; Artiodactyla; Camelidae.